Molecule: ribosomal RNA, 489 nt
Filed under: uncultured bacterium
Lineage: Bacteria
Description: partial 16S ribosomal RNA
Rfam family: Bacterial small subunit ribosomal RNA
Source: RNAcentral
GAUGAACGCUAGCGGCAGGCUUAAUACAUGCAAGUCGUGGGGCAGCAGGACUGUAGCAAUACAGUUGCUGGCGACCGGCAAACGGGUGUGGAACACGUACGCAGCUUACCCUGAACUGGGGGAUAGCCCGGGGAAACCCGGAUUAAUACCCCGUAAUAUAAUGGAGUGGCAUCACUUUAUUAUUAAAGCUCCGGCGGUUCGGGAUGGGCGUGCGGCUGAUUAGGUAGUUGGUUGAGGUAACGGCUCACCAAGCCUACGAUCAGUAACUGGUGUGAGAGCACGACCAGUCACACGGGCACUGAGGCACGGGCCCGACUCCUACGGGAGGCAGCAGUAAGGAAUAUUGGGCGAUGGAGGCAACUCUGACCCAGCCAUGCCGCGUGGAGGAUGAAGGCCCUCUGGGUUGUAAACUUCUUUUAUAGGAGACGAAGCCUGUGUAUUCUUACGCAGUUGACGGUACCCUAAGAAUAAGCACCGGCUAACUCCGUG